RNAcentral lists this ribosomal RNA (952 nucleotides) under Khawia sinensis. RNAcentral's name for it is "16S ribosomal RNA". It matches the Rfam family "Bacterial large subunit ribosomal RNA", at positions 561 to 2715 of the family's 2925-position model. Lineage: Eukaryota; Metazoa; Platyhelminthes; Cestoda; Caryophyllidea; Lytocestidae. The record is from RNAcentral.
UGCCUUGAACUAAUGUUAAGAUUUUUGCGUGUUUUAUGGGUUUGUGUGCCUUUUGCCUCAUGCUAAUUCUAGUUUUUGGUAAACUCCUAAGACCGAAGCUUCCGGAUCUCCCCCUCAAACCGUUAAGAACGUGCAUUGGGUAAAUUUUUAGAUUUAGGGGGUGUUGUGAUAAAUUAGUCGACGGAAGGUAUACCUGUUACGGGGAGUAUAGUUUCUUUAAACAGUUAGGGUGAUGAGAUCCUUUCUGUGUUUAUAUUUUAGAUUGAUCUUUUUUUACUAGGGUUAAGGUUACCCCUGUUUAGUGAUAGUGUUAAAAUAUCAAAGCUAGCCUGUUUAUAAUUAAUUAGAAUUUCCCCGUGUACUAAUUAUCUGUGGGUAUUUAUGAAUUAAUAAGUAAUUAUAUCAGUUCAAAUCAUUCUCGGGCCUAGCCCAACUGUUUAUUAAAAACAUUUCUGCCGCCAUUAGGCAGUAUGACCUGCCCGGUGUGAUAUUAACGGCCGCAGUAUUAUGACUGUGCGAAGGUAGCAUAAUUAAUUGCCCCAUAAUUGGGGGCUUGUUUGAAGGGUUUAAUGCGGUUAGCGCUAAGAUUUGAGUUUUAUGUGAAUUUAAUACCGCGGGUAAAGAAUCCUCGGCUUAAAGUUAGACGGAAAGACCCCAGGAUCUUUCAUUUUGUCUGGGGCAGAUUGAACUUUUUUAGUUUAUUUGAGACCCUUAGAUUAGAGAGUUAAGUUACCCUGGGGAUAACAGAGUAAUAGUUUAUAAGAGAUCUUAUCGAUUAAACUGAUUGCUACCUCGAUGUUGACUUGGGUAAGCCCAAUAGCGCAGUCGUUAUUGGGCAAGGUCUGUUCGACCAGAAGACCCUCAUGAGUUGAGUUAAGACCGGCGUGAGCCAGGUCGGUUCUUAUCUGCUGGUGCAGCGGGUCAGUACGAAAGGACCUCCCGCUAUUUUAUU